GCAGGCAGAUUCUUUACCGCUGAGCCAUUGGGGAAGCACCCUGAACAGGGACUGUCUCCAUGAGGCUAGAAACCCUGGCCGCCAGAGCAGAUGGAAGCCUCUUCCUCUAGUUCCAACUAGAAACAGCCUGCAGGUCAACCCUACUUGGAUCACCUGCCCAGUUGCAGGACCAGAGGUGUGGACACCAUCACAGGGGCUCCUGAUCAGAACCACAUGGUUCCCAUGGACAAAAGGGGUAUUUCUCCUAAAGAAGAGGACAUUGUCAUCCAUCCUCAUCCUAGAAAAAAGAUGCUGCCAUCCACAGCAGGUGCUCAGAACACACUGGCUCCCAACUUCAGCGGCCCUUCCUCAGGGCACCAAGGACCCUGGAUGCUGACAAAUCUGACUUUUUCCAGCAAUCAGCCCUAC
Molecule: long non-coding RNA, 408 nt
Organism: Bubalus bubalis (water buffalo)
Lineage: Eukaryota; Metazoa; Chordata; Mammalia; Artiodactyla; Bovidae
Exons: 3
Source: RefSeq, a predicted model, not a curated record